CCUACGGGCGGCAGCAGUGGGGAAUAUUGCACAAUGGGCGCAAGCCUGAUGCAGCCAUGCCGCGUGUGUGAAGAAGGCCUUCGGGUUGUAAAGCACUUUCAGCGGGGAGGAAGGCGUUAAGGUUAAUAACCCUGUCGAUUGACGUUACCCGCAGAAGAAGCACCGGCUAACUCCGUGCCAGCAGCCGCGGUAAUACGGAGGGUGCAAGCGUUAAUCGGAAUUACUGGGCGUAAAGCGCACGCAGGCGGUCUGUCAAGUCGGAUGUGAAAUCCCCGGGCUCAACCUGGGAACUGCAUUCGAAACUGGCAGGCUAGAGUCUUGUAGAGGGGGGUAGAAUUCCAGGUGUAGCGGUGAAAUGCGUAGAGAUCUGGAGGAAUACCGGUGGCGAAGGCGGCCCCCUGGACAAAGACUGACGCUCAGGUGCGAAAGCGUGGGGAGCAAACAGGAUUAGAUACCCUUGUAGUC
Molecule: ribosomal RNA, 465 nt
Filed under: uncultured Klebsiella sp.
Lineage: Bacteria; Pseudomonadati; Pseudomonadota; Gammaproteobacteria; Enterobacterales; Enterobacteriaceae
Description: bacterial SSU rRNA
Rfam family: Bacterial small subunit ribosomal RNA
Source: RNAcentral